AUCAACACAGCCUGUAUAGGGACUAUCUCGUGCUCUGAUCAUGCACCUAUCUCUAUGAAGGUAGAGACACCUUACCAGACAUGCGGCAAAUUCAUAUGGCGUCUUAAUGACUCACUGCUAAAUGACCACACCUUGAUCUCACAGAUAACCAAAGAUAUGGAAUCCUAUUUUUCCACAAACAACACACAAGAUAUUGGUAUAGAAACCCUAUGGCAAGCACACAAGGCGGUCCUCAGGGGCCAGCUUAUUAAACAUUCAAGCU
Molecule: non-coding RNA, 262 nt
Organism: Pelobates cultripes (western spadefoot toad)
Lineage: Eukaryota; Metazoa; Chordata; Amphibia; Anura; Pelobatidae
Source: the annotation of a GenBank genome assembly